Molecule: non-coding RNA, 212 nt
Filed under: Desulfobacula sp.
Lineage: Bacteria; Pseudomonadati; Thermodesulfobacteriota; Desulfobacteria; Desulfobacterales; Desulfobacteraceae
Source: RNAcentral
AACCGGAUCAGUUGUUCAGGUGCACAUGGUGCUUAAAAGGGAACGCCUGUGAAAAUCAGGGACGGGCCCGCCGCUGUAAGUGGGGACAAAGGCUUUUAUAGGCCACUGUCAAUUGGAACUCAAUUCAAAGUGAAUUCAAAAAAUUGACGGGAAGGCAAAAGCAAAUAGGAUGAUCCACAAGUCAGAAGACCUGCCGGACACAUUGAUGAAUU